AUAUAGUCUUCUUUUUUAAAUAAAAUAAUGGUUAGAUGUUUAUCUGUCAAAUAUUAAUUAACCCCAAUGGAAUAAUAAACUAAGUAUAAAUGAAAUUAUUUCAAAUAUUAAGAUUUGCAAGUGAGAAUUCAAUAUUUUGGAGCUAUCUCCAUUAAAUAUGUUUAAUUUUCGAAUAGAACAAGAUUAUAUUAAGGUUAGGUUCAUUUUUGGAAUUAGGGUUUGUUAUUGGGCUAUAACAAUAACUCUGUUCUAUUUAUCACUUAUAACUAUAAUUUUAAUUCUUGUAUUAUUCAUCAUUAACACUAAAUUCGUAGUAGUAAACAUAAUUUGAUUAUAUUUUCAUGAUAUUUUAACGGGAAGGAAAAGCAAUGCUGAAAUCAGACUAAGAUUUUUUAUAUGGGAAAUUUGAAGGUUUGCACUCAAAACGUGUCUACAAAUUUGUCAUUAUUAUUCGAUAGAAUGUAUAAUAAAAAACGUUGAUGGGGCAGUUGCAAGUUAAACAUUAAAUUUACCAGGUUAAAGUUUAUUCUGGAACAGCACAUCUAAAGGACCUAGAGCAACUGUUUCAGGCAAAUUAAAGUUAUUGAUCAAGUUAUAUGAAGACACUUCAAUGUUAACAUCGAUGAACAUGAAGUCUGAGAAGUCUUGAAAACAAAUAUGAAACUUGAGCUGACAACUCUUAAAUUGAAAAAAGAUUUAAAGAGUACCUGAUGCUUCCAAUCCAAUGUAAAAACAGCCAAUGUUUCCAUAUGAAAGUGUUAUCAAAGAUAAGGAUGGAAAGUGUCAAUUCCAUUACUAUUCAAUCCUGAUGUUUCUUUUGUUGAAAAAAUAAAUAAAGUAUUAAAAAUGAAUACACCAAACCAAGUGACAUUUAUAUUAGUUGGAAUAUCAUUUUAAUAUGGAAUAAAAGUUCCAAAACUGUAGCAUCUUAUUAGUAGUUUUACAUAAAUGAAAGUAUGUGUGUUAAUAAUUCAAAAAUUAUACCAACAGUUUAAUCAACUAUUAAAUUAUCAGGAGAUAAAGCAUGGUGGAAUGUGAGUAUGGAUUAGAUUUUCUGAUUCAUUUAGUAUCAAACUGAAAACAAAAUUUCGAAAUGGAAGAUGCCGUUUGUGCAAUUUAUGGGAGUUACAUCUUUGUGCAUUGCUUACUUGUGAUGGACUGUUAUGGAUUUCACUUGAGUAGAAUUAUUUUGCAAAACUACUAGGAAACGUAUAAAUGAUUGGUAUUUUUUUUUGAUUAUAUUGUAAAAUACAAAUAAUGGAGAAAAACCCUGUAUAUCAUAAUUGAUAAAAAUAAUUUCAGAAAUAAAAUAAUGUGAGCCUCUGUUAAAUAACAAAAAUUCUUUCAUCUUUUAGUUGUAAACAACUUAUAAUAAAAUCAGGUAUUGAAACAAAAAAGGAAUUUUUUGUAUAAUUGGAAAUUAUAUUUCAGGUGUAAAAAAAGAUUAAAGGCAGUAAUCCUCGGAGAUUGCUCUGUUUCUUAAUUUCCACGCAUGUGCCUAAAUCAAACGGCAAGGCAAAACGUCGGAGCAAACGGUGGAAAUGAGUUGGUCGAGGUAUCGAAAUUUGCUUAGGGGUAUCAUAAGAUACCAAAAUUUCAUUCUCUAUGACUAUUCGAAAUAUAGGUUUUCAUUGAAACUUAGAAAUGGAACUUACAUUGUGGAUGUACCUCGUAUGAAGGAAAUUCUAAAAUCAGUUAUUCAAAUUUUUCUAAAAUUUUCGGUCCGAAUUAUUGCAUCAAAUUUUGAUUUGAUGCAUUUUUUUUCUUAUUUAUUAAGUGAGCAGAACUUUGAUC
This is a long non-coding RNA of Diorhabda sublineata, 1794 nucleotides long. RefSeq lists it as uncharacterized. The transcript has 3 exons. The record is from RefSeq and is a predicted model, not a curated record. NCBI's taxonomy places the organism in Eukaryota, Metazoa, Arthropoda, Insecta, Coleoptera, Chrysomelidae.